This 481-nucleotide ribosomal RNA is filed under the name uncultured bacterium. Its description in RNAcentral is "bacterial SSU rRNA". It matches the Rfam family "Bacterial small subunit ribosomal RNA", at positions 28 to 526 of the family's 1533-position model. The record is from RNAcentral.
GACGAACGCUGGCGGCGUGCUUAACACAUGCAAGUCGAGCGGUAAGGCCCUUCGGGGUACACGAGCGGCGAACGGGUGAGUAACACGUGAGCAAUCUGCCCUGCACUUUGGGAUAACCACCGGAAACGGUGGCUAAUACCGGAUAUGACCUGACGUGGCAUCGCGUUUGGUGGAAAGUUCUGGCGGUGCAGGAUGAGCUCGCGGCCUAUCAGCUUGUUGGUGGGGUAAUGGCUCACCAAGGCUUCGACGGGUAGCCGGCCUGAGAGGGUGACCGGCCACACUGGGACUGAGACACGGCCCAGACUCCUACGGGAGGCAGCAGUGGGGAAUAUUGGACAAUGGGCGAAAGCCUGAUCCAGCAACGCCGCGUGAGGGAUGACGGCCUUCGGGUUGUAAACCUCUUUCAGCGCAGACGAAGCGAAAGUGACGGUAUGCGCAGAAGAAGCACCGGCCAACUACGUGCCAGCCGCCGCAGUAACAC